AUGACAAUGAAAACUCGCCCUGAUCCGCUGGCAGACAACUAGAGAAAUCCCACACGACCAUCGAACUCGCUUUCUACAGGGGGGCGAAAUGGCGAGUGGACUCUGCGGUGCAGUGCAACUGAAUGGAAUUGGUCACAAGAUCCUCUGGGUACAACGUGGACUGGAGCAAGUUGCGGAGAAUGACACUACCAGAUAAACAUGGACAAGCUUUGAUUCUGACAACGUGCUGUUUCCGAAGCGAGGGACAGUGUAAACCUGUAUAUUGAAUGGUGAAAAAAAUCUUUUCAUACCAAGAGUUGUCUCAAUUUGGUUUCACGGGCAAGCUCGGCUCCACCUUGAAUGUAGAGCGCUGGCAAGCGGCAGUAUUCUUGCACCGAAGUACUUGGACGCAAAGACAAUAUUGCCAAAGGACAAUGUGUGUGCAAAGUCUGAUCCCAAACACAUGCAAUGUUUACAAUCGGCACUUUCAUACAAUACAGUGAGACUUUCAACAGCCCCUUUCAUUAUGAAACGCCACGCGCUGUACACUUUGCAACAAUGCAUGAAAGGGAGGUUUGGUGGAUGUGUAUUAUGCAAUAACCUUCCGCCACAAGCCCUUCUCUACCUUAGUCUGCUCGAAUGCAAGCCGCAACUUGUAGUCCUGCACCUUAGCGUGUUCCAGGAGGCAGCGCUUCGUGGGGGAAGAUGAGAAGACUGUCUGUCAUCGUGCGUUUCAGGUAAGGAUAAGAUCCAUUGAGUGAUACAGCGUGGAAACAGACCGCUCGGCCCAACUUGCCCACACCGGCCAACAUGUCCCAGCUACACUAGUCCCACCUACCCGCGUUUGGUCCAUAUCGAGGGAUAUAAACCUGUCCUAUCCUGUCAUUCGUAACUGUCACUGUAUGUCAUGUUGUUACUUGUGGGCGGAGCACCAAGGCAAAUUCCUUGUAUGUGAAUACUUGGCCAAUAAACUUACUAUC
Molecule: long non-coding RNA, 959 nt
Organism: Leucoraja erinaceus (little skate)
Lineage: Eukaryota; Metazoa; Chordata; Chondrichthyes; Rajiformes; Rajidae
Exons: 3
Source: RefSeq, a predicted model, not a curated record